Long non-coding RNA from Drosophila innubila, 996 nucleotides. RefSeq lists it as uncharacterized. The record is from RefSeq and is a predicted model, not a curated record. The transcript is spliced from 2 exons. Lineage: Eukaryota; Metazoa; Arthropoda; Insecta; Diptera; Drosophilidae.
AAUGUAGCAAAUCCAGUACACUGACCACAGUUUAAUUUAAAUGUCUAUAUCACCGACUUGGCCAGCGCAAUAAGUGAACCCGUAAAGCGAAGAAUCUGUCAAAAAAAUAAACAAAAAGAAUAUGAAGAACGUACAAAUAACAUAAUGGCAGGCCUACCGAAGUGAGCGUCUCCAGCGAUGGAGAAAAGAAGGGUAUCUUGAUGAUGAGCACACGCUGAGCUCUGGCAAUCAUGAGAAGCGUCAUCUUCUGAACGCGAACGCUGUGACCAUGCCAAUGACUGCUAAAAAUGCUGUUCGAUAAUUCCAAGCACUUAUAUGGGUGCCACCCAAGCAGUAGAGAAAGAUUUCCGUGCCCACAGCGCAUGUGUAGACCAAAUAGACUAUAAUGCCCACUCCAGAGAACUGCACAAAUUACAGAGAAAUAAAAAUUAUGAAGAGAACAAAAUUAAAUAAAUGCCUCACCAGCAGCAUAUCCACCACGCUGGUGCCUAUAAUCAAACUGGAGGUGACAAAGUGUCCCAGUGUAAUCUCUACCAUAAUGCCCGAAAGGCGUUCCGUCAACUCGGCCACCUCAUUGUGGCGAUCUAUGAGCAGUUCCAUCCUUCGAACAAUCCGAGAUUCCUCCAUUGCCGUAAGUUCCAGCUUAUCAUCUUUUAUGGCCAACAAAUCGCAGACAUCGUCGCGCAGGGAAUGCAGCAGUACGGUCAGAUACAGACAGAAGCCCAGAAAAAAGCCAUCAGCUCCAACAAAACAAACAACGGUGAUGUAACCAUGCCAAUGAACAAGCAUGUAGAUCAAAGGGUACAAGGGCAGACGUAGAAACGAAUCGGGAAAGCUGGAAAAACAAGUUAGAAGCUAAUCCAUUGAAUUGAAAUCAACAAAUUAUUUUGGAGAAAAAUAAUCAAUAUAAAAGAAAAAUUAAAAGAAAUUAAAUCAAGCGUGAAAGGCUAUAAUCCAGAACCUGACCAUUAUAUAAAUAAAUGAUUAAAGUUUAAA